CCUGGUGGCUCAAAGGUUAAAGCAUCUGCCUGGAAUGCUGGAGACCGGGGUUCAAUCCCUGGGUCAGGA
This 69-nucleotide transfer RNA is filed under the name Ovis aries (sheep). It matches the Rfam family "tRNA". Rfam says of the family: Transfer RNA (tRNA) molecules are approximately 80 nucleotides in length. Their secondary structure includes four short double-helical elements and three loops (D, anti-codon, and T loops). Lineage: Eukaryota; Metazoa; Chordata; Mammalia; Artiodactyla; Bovidae. The record is from Rfam by way of RNAcentral.